UACCCAAUCCCGACACGGGGAGGUAGUGACAAUAAAUACUGAUACAGGGCUCUUUUGGGUCUUGUAAUUGGAAUGAGUACAAUUUAAAUCCCUUAACGAGGAACAAUUGGAGGGCAAGUCUGGUGCCAGCAGCCGCGGUAAUUCCAGCUCCAAUAGCGUAUAUUAAAGUUGUUGUGGUUAAAAAGCUCGUAGUUGAACCUUGGGCCUGGCUGGCCGGUCCGCCUCACCGCGUGUACUGGUCCGGCCGGGCCUUUCCCUCUGUGGAACCCCAUGCCCUUCACUGGGUGUGGCGGGGAAACAGGACUUUUACUUUGAAAAAAUUAGAGUGCUCCAGGCAGGCCUAUGCUCGAAUACAUUAGCAUGGAAUAAUAGAAUAGGACGUGUGGUUCUAUUUUGUUGGUUUCUAGGACCGCCGUAAUGAUUAAUAGGGACAGUCGGGGGCAUCAGUAUUCAAUUGUCAGAGGUGAAAUUCUUGGAUUUAUUGAAGACUAACUACUGCGAAAGCAUUUGCCAAGGAUGUUUUCAUUAAUCAGGAACGAAAGUUAGGGGAUCGAAGACGAUCAGAUACCGUCGUAGUCUUAACCAUAAACUAUGCCGACUAGGGAUCGGACGAUGUUAUUUUUUGACUCGUUCGGCACCUUACGAGAAAUCAAAGUGCUUGGGCUCCA
This 668-nucleotide ribosomal RNA is filed under the name uncultured eukaryote. RNAcentral's name for it is "SSU rRNA". It matches the Rfam family "Eukaryotic small subunit ribosomal RNA", at positions 442 to 1116 of the family's 1831-position model. The record is from RNAcentral.